RNAcentral lists this ribosomal RNA (468 nucleotides) under uncultured bacterium. RNAcentral's name for it is "partial 16S ribosomal RNA". It matches the Rfam family "Bacterial small subunit ribosomal RNA", at positions 28 to 507 of the family's 1533-position model. The record is from RNAcentral.
GACGAACGCUGGCGGCGUGCUUAACACAUGCAAGUCGAACGGAAAGGCCCUGCUUUUGUGGGGUGCUCGAGUGGCGAACGGGUGAGUAACACGUGAGUAACCUGCCCUUUACUUUGGGAUAACUUCAGGAAACUGGGGCUAAUACCGGAUAGGAGCUCCUGCUGCAUUGUGGGGGUUGGAAAGUUUCGGCGGGUGGGGAUGGACUCGCGGCUUAUCAGCUUGUUGGUGGGGUAGUGGCUUACCAAGGCUUUGACGGGUAGCCGGCCUGAGAGGGUGACCGGCCACAUUGGGACUGAGAUACGGCCCAGACUCCUACGGGAGGCAGCAGUGGGGAAUAUUGCACAAUGGGCGGAAGCCUGAUGCAGCAACGCCGCGUGCGGGAUGACGGCCUUCGGGUUGUAAACCGCUUUCGCCUGUGACGAAGCGUGAGUGACGGUAAUGGGUAAAGAAGCACCGGCUAACUACGUG